GAAAAGUGCCAUACAAUGCAAUCUCCGGCACUUCAAUGGCUUGUCCUCAUGCUGCUGCCGCAGCUGCGUAUGUCAAAUCAUUUCACCCCAAUUGGUCUCCUGCCAUGAUUAAGUCUGCAUUAAUGACUACAGGUAUAUAAUUAACGACUCAGUCUACUGCUUCCGUUGCUGUAGGAAAUUUAUCAUAUUAUGUUUUCAUAGUUAGAAUACUUGAUUUUGUAUUAUAAUUAUGAGUUUAUUACCCUCUCUGUUGCAAUCAACAGCUACUCCAAUGAGUUCUGCUCUUAAUCCUGAAGCUGAAUUCGCGUAUGGCGCGGGGCAAAUUAAUCCUGUUAAGGCAGUAAAUCCUGGUUUAGUAUAUGAUAUUACUGAAGCAGAUUAUAUCCAGUUCCUAUGUGGGGACGGGUAUACAGAUAAAAUGCUCCAACCACUUACACAUGAAAAUGUUAGUUGCCAUGGAAAAGCUCAAAAGAGAGCUGCAUAUAACUUGAACCUCCCAUCAUUUGCCAUUUAUCAUGGUAAUGUUGGAGUUUUCCCUCGUGUUUUCCGCAGAACAGUUACAAAUGUUGGAUCAGCAAAAUCUACUUAUAAAGCCACUGUAAUAACUCCAUCCUUGUUGGAUAUUCAAGUGAAACCUGAUGUUCUGUCCUUCACAUCGAUAGGCCAGGAAAAAUCAUUCUCAGUUGUAAUUGAAGGGGCUCUCACUGUGAAAUUAAUAUCUGCUACUUUGAUUUGGGAUGAUGGGAAUUUUCAAGUUAGAAGCCCAAUUGUAGUGUAUGGAGACCUACCAGAACCACCAGAUAUGUGAAACUAGAAAAAAAAAGUAAAAUAAGGGAAGCAUACUGCAGUUGGUUGCAUAAUCAUUUUAUAGCUUCGAGUUUAUGAAGUUUGUAAUAGCAUCUUUGGUUAUGCGAUUGAAAAGCGCACAAUCACUUCGGGGAAAAAGCUACAAAUGUAGUUUAUGUAAUUACCGUGUUUUGGAUUGUAUGUCAUCACUAAUCCUAUCAUGUUGUGUAUGUAAGCUCGAGUGGUCUUCCAUAAAAUAAAAUAGUUUGUGAAAGAAAUUCUCACUGCUCUGUUGGUAUUUAUGUAAUGUGUUAGUGACUAGUGGGAUGUUUAUAUCAGUGUUAUCAAAGUGAGCCCCAGAAACUGGCGAGUAAAUUAUCCUGAGCACAAUGUUUAAACAAAAUAAGGUUUAUUGUUUAGGCCACAACAUGUAAUUAAUUUCAACAGGAUGACUAUAUUUUGGUGGGAUAAAUCAGCAAGUUGCUCAAUUCAGACUUCAAAAUUAAUAUAUUAUAAAGGAUUUGAUUUAUAUUCACUAACGGUGUAAAGAGUUUUACGAAGACAUCCAAUCACAUCAAUAUGCAUUGAGCCUUCGUGGUUCCAAUUAUGAAAUGACAACUUCCAGUAGGACCAACAUAAACCAGCAAAACUCCUUAUUCAAUGUAUCACGGUACUCGUACAUUAAACACAAAAAUGGGGCUCCUAACUGGAAAUUUACCAUCAUCCCAAACCAAACCAAAGAAGCUGAAGCAACAGAUUCUAUUAUUGCUCCAUAUCAAUAGUGAGCACAAAUGUUUUCUUUUGGCCAAGAGAAUUGAAUGAAAAAACAUUUGGCUUCACUUUGAUUUUAAGCCCUUUACGAGUAGUCACAAUAGCUUUAUAUGCCGACAUUGGGAUCCAACAUUUGUGACAAUCCUCUUGAAACCGCCAAAUACAUUGGGGUCUGAGGGUGAGGCUUGAAGAGUAAAUGAAGGAUAGUUUAGAUCCAUUGCCAUUAUUCCCUGUGAUGAGUUGUAGAAGCUUUGAACUAUAGCCCUGUCCAUAUGAAAAUCCUAUGUGGUCCCUUUCACUAGCAUCAUACACUAAAGCCGGUUUCAGAACCUUGGAAGGAUCAAUUAGGCCUGCUCCAUAUUCGUCCUUGAAGAAUUCGCGUUUCUGGCAAUCUUCACAGGUUAGUGAUCCUAAAAAAUUUAAAAUCUUUCCGGUAUGCAGCCUCAACCUUUUUGGACCUACUCUCACCUGUCAUAAUUGAGCCUGGAAUGCAGUAAGAUAUGACGAAUUAGUAAACAAAAAAAAUUGGGUAAUCCAAAGAAAAGAUUUCAAAUUUUUAAGUAUAGUUAAGUUGAGAAUGCCGAAAACAAGUUUCUGCUUUUUUUCCUCUGAGUUCACAUCAAUCUUCUCCCUCAUGAAAGACACACAUAACAAUCAUAAUCAAGAAGUAAUGAACAAGUUGAGAUAUUUCAAUGGAUUAUCACAGAUUAUUCCUACAUAUGAACAGCUGCGAAUAUAGAACUGAAAUGUCCAAUAGUAAAACAUGGUAUACCUGCAAGUUUCUAACGCUUUGUCCCUCCAAGGAAUCACACAUCCACAAGCUUCCAUGUAUUCAAGAAUGUGCUGAUGUAGUAAUGAUUACUAGGAUGUGCUUAGCUUCACUCUAGAAAAAUUUUGACAAGCCAAAAAAAGAGCUGAUGCAGAUUUUGCAUAUGGAGCAUGCCAAAUUAAUGCUUCCAAUGCCGUGAACCUGGUUUAGUGUAUGAUGCUACUGAAAUGAAAUUGACUACAUAAGAUUUUUAUGCGGUUAGGGCUAUAAUUCAAUGCUUCUACAACUCAUAACAGGGGAUAAUAGCAAGGGAUCUAAACUACCCUUCAUUUGCUCUCCAAGCCUCACACUCAGAUUCCAAUGUAUUUGAUAGUUUCAAGAGGACUGUCACAAAUGUUUGAUCCCCGAUGUCCACAUAUAAAGCUAUUGUGAGUUGUGACUGCUCCUCA
RNAcentral lists this long non-coding RNA (2775 nucleotides) under Lotus japonicus. RNAcentral describes it as "long non-coding RNA (LJAP_LNC001893)". The record is from RNAcentral. Lineage: Eukaryota; Viridiplantae; Streptophyta; Magnoliopsida; Fabales; Fabaceae.